GGCUCCUGGCCCUGGGCGCCAUCCCUGCCACUAUUGGCAGGAGCCCUGGAGGGCAGUGGGUGUCCCCCUGACUGUCAAUAUGCUUCCUCCCCGUCUCACAGUCAAUACUGUUGUGAAGAAAAAGCCAGCAAGAUGGGAGCUGUACCUGAAGACAGGCCACACAGCAUCCGUAAGAACAGCAGAAACUCAAACCCAACACCAGCAAACGGCCCUCUCAGCAGCUCUGCAUUUCUUGGACUCCUCAGACCAGUCUUGGAUUUGAAAAGCAACAACAGGAACCAAAGAAAGGGCUUUUGAAGACCUGACACACAGAGAACAGCUUCGAGAAAGAGACAUACCGGAAAGAAAAAUACAGCCAGAAAAAGUCAGGUCUGACGCGGAAGCAAGCCUGGUUCCUGUGUGUGGACCCAGCACAGAUGUGAAGAAGCCCCGCUUGGUAAGUAGACGUUCUCCUUUACCCGGGAAUGUUAUCAGAUGUACUGAAAAGGAUGAUCUCUUCCUUCCAGAAUGGGCUAGUUGGUGCUAUGCCACCUCCAUGGUAUAUUUUCUGCGACUUGGGGUGGGGGCUAAAUAUUCCCUUCUUACAGAUGAGCAGGAUUCCCGGCAGGCCACUGUCCUUGUCACAGCUUUGGACGGUCACCAAUUGCUGUACUUCUGCCUUGCUUUGAGGAAUUCUCUAAAUGUUUAUAUUUCUUUUUUUAUAUUUAUUUACUUUCCCUUUUGUUACCCUUGUUGUUUUUUGUUGUUGUUGUUGUCAUUGUUGUUGGAUAAGACAGAGAGAAACGGAGAGAGGAGGGGAAGACAGAGAGGCAGAGAGAAAGACAGACACCUGCAGACCUGCUUUACCGCCUGUGAAGCGACUCCCCUGCAGGUGGGGAGCCGGGGGCUCGAACUGGGAUCCUUACACUGGUCCUUGUGCUUUGUGCCACGUGCGCUUAACCCGCUGCGCU
Erinaceus europaeus (western European hedgehog) is the source of this 950-nucleotide long non-coding RNA. RefSeq lists it as uncharacterized. The transcript is spliced from 3 exons. NCBI's taxonomy places the organism in Eukaryota, Metazoa, Chordata, Mammalia, Eulipotyphla, Erinaceidae. The record is from RefSeq and is a predicted model, not a curated record.